AACUGGCUGGGAGGAUACAGGGCAGGGCACCAGGCUCUCUUGCCUAGCAGGGGGAUUUUAGAGCCUUGCCACAAAAAUGUAGCUCAUAGACCACCAGCAGCAGCCACAUCUGGAUGCUUGUUAGGAAAGAGGAGACUCAGGCCCUACCUACACCUGCCAAUUCAGAAUCUGAACCAGCCCCCAGGACACUGAUCUUGAGGACAUCGUGGGACUGGGAGAGGAAGGGGGAGAUGUUGAGUAAACUGGCAAAGGUGGAAGAAAAAGGGAAGAAGGAUCACAGAGGGCUGCCCGAGUCCAGAGCUCAGAGGUCUGAAAAGAAGCAAAAGGACUGUAAACAAACCAGGUCAUUGAAUCACAAGCCCAGAGCCUGCUGACUGUUACUGCAAGCGGACGGUCCGCCCUCAGGACUGCAGGGGUGAAUUAUGGCCACCAAGUGCUCAGAGGCCUGGCUAUAAAUCCUCCCCUGCAUCCUUGUUAACCGUGUCCUUCCCUGGAGGCAGAAAAGAUGGAAAACAGCUGGCAGGCUUCUUCCACAUGUCCUUAAAGAGCACAA
Bos taurus (domestic cattle) is the source of this 553-nucleotide long non-coding RNA. The record is from Ensembl. Lineage: Eukaryota; Metazoa; Chordata; Mammalia; Artiodactyla; Bovidae.